RNAcentral lists this ribosomal RNA (478 nucleotides) under uncultured bacterium. RNAcentral describes it as "bacterial SSU rRNA". It matches the Rfam family "Bacterial small subunit ribosomal RNA", at positions 64 to 524 of the family's 1533-position model. The record is from RNAcentral.
GAGCGCGAAUGGAGCAAUCCUAGUAGAGCGGCGCACGGGUGCGUAACACGUGGGUAAUCUGCCUCAAAGACCGGAAUAACCUGCCGAAAGGCAAGCUAAUACCGGAUAAGCCUACAGGCUCUUCGGAGCCCGAAGGAAAAGGUGGCCUCUGUAUACAAGCUAUCACUUUGAGAUGAGCCCGCGGCCCAUCAGCUAGUUGGCGGGGUAAUGGCCCACCAAGGCAACGACGGGUAGCUGGUCUGAGAGGACGAUCAGCCACACUGGAACUGAGACACGGUCCAGACUCCUACGGGAGGCAGCAGUGGGGAAUUUUGCACAAUGGGCGAAAGCCUGAUGCAGCAACGCCGCGUGUGUGAUGAAGGUCUUCGGAUUGUAAAGCACUUUCGACCGGGACGAACACCCGUUGGCUAACAUCCAACGGUCUGACUGUACCGGGAGAAGAAGCACCGGCUAACUCUGUGCCAGCAGCCGCGGUAAU